Apteryx haastii (Great spotted kiwi) is the source of this 2371-nucleotide long non-coding RNA. The record is from Ensembl. NCBI's taxonomy places the organism in Eukaryota, Metazoa, Chordata, Aves, Apterygiformes, Apterygidae.
CAGUCAUUUAUUUAGAAGUCCCUGAAAGCUCUAAGUAUUGUAAAUAUUUUUCAAGCUUCUUAGCAAGAAUACCUAUAGCAACUUAGUAAGCAAUUACAAUGCAUCACCCACAUAACAUGCUGUAAACAUACUUCCAACUUUAACAGGUAGCUACCUUGUUAGAGAUUGUCCAACUGCRUUGGAGAAUCAAAAGGGGAGAGGACAAGGCUCUUGAAACUACAGUGUAGCCACUACCCUGCCCCCUUCCUGCCCUUUGCUCRAGGUCAGGGAAAACCGGCAUUUCAUUGUUAUUGUUGUUGUUAGUUAUGAAAACUGUAAUAAAAGUCGGAUCUGUUUAAAAAAAAAAAAAGACUUCAUUUUCUAAAUUAAAUUCAGUUCUUUGAACUAAAACAAAACAGUAACCAAAAGCUGUGUUUAGAGAAAAUUUCACUCCUGGUUUGCUAGCAUCAUCAGAUCUUCACAGCUAUGACUGGGACCACAUACAUGCAAUGGUGCUUCAUACUUUUUACAGUUGUUUUCUUGCUGUAUUAAGAUUCUGGAAUUGUUAAAGUAAGGUUACUCUACUUUAUCAGUAUAGAAAUAUUUUCGUUUCACCAGGGGAGGGAGGGAGGGGAGGAAAAUCAUAUGCUGGAAAGAAGCAUACUUGUGAAUACUUUGAUGGUGAAAUGGGUGGGUUUGUCUUUAGUAUUUUGGUUCUACCCCUUGAUUGUUCUGUUCUGCUGUGUGAAGGAGUAGGAUAAUAUAACACUGUGCUAAACAUUGGAAAAUGGAUAAGGACAAUGAACAAAGCAAGUGACAGGAAAUACAGAAAUUCCCUAGCAAGUAAAACGUAUAUGUCAGUGGUGUUGUAAGCACUUGCAUUUCCUAUCCUUUGAAGUCAAUAUGCAUGAAACCUCGCGUUUAAAACAGAAAUGGUCCCUCGAAGGUUGAGCAACUAAAUGCUAUAUAUUCAACUGGAAGGUGCAAAAAAGAAGGGAUUUUCUGUCAACUCAAAGGAACGUACCAAGUGGGUGUUCAUUCUGCAGCACUUGUUUUCAAAAUCUUUAACACAGUGCUAUGUGGAGUUAAGUUUAAUUUCUUGUGUGUCUGUAAAUUUGCUUUCGUUUGUUCUAAGCUUAAUCAUAUAAUGCAGCUUAUUUCAUGAGUCAUUUUUAAUUAGAGAAGACAGAGUUAAUGAAUGGUUGUUGGUAAGACUCUUGCAUUAUGGAGCAGUUGCACUGUGUGCUGUCAUAGCACCAUUAACGGUGUAAUAGGUCAUGAACACGUGUCUUGGAAUGAAUCUUGUGACAGGGAGGGAGGGAGGUGUUGUUUUAGGAUAGCUUGCUAUUCCAGUGCUUAGAUGACAAACUUUGAUAGAGUCUUUUUUUUUUUUUUUCCCCCUGCUGUGAUUUACUUUCAGUAGCCUCUUUCUUUGCCUUGACCUGAAAGGAAUUUGUUUCAAUGCCAUUGUCAAAGCCUUUGACAGUUUUCUAAAAAUAGUUAACAUCCCAAAUUGUGUCACUUAUACCAGAGGUUUUUGACUGUAUCUCUAGAUAAUGURAUUCAGUCUAUGCCUAAUGACUUUGCAGUUUCUUCUUUGAAACCAAUUAUAAGUGUGAGCUUAGAAAGUUUAGUUACUUGGUGAGUCUCCCAUCUAUCCUUUGCUUUCACUAAUUCAAUACAGAAUUGCAAAGACAGCUUUUCAGUUUGUGCUUACUGUGUUAAUGUUUCUGUAAAAUGGCUACAAACCUGUCAGUCAGCAGAAGAUUAGGUUUUCUUUCUGGAGUAGAAAUCUAGAAGACAUUAAAUUGGAUGGUUGAUGUAUCUUAUUUUGGCAAAUUAAUGGUUUUGGCCAUCACUCAUUUAUUUUUAAGGUUCAUUUUCCAAAACAGUCAUUAGGUAUGUYUGUUUAUUGUCUUAUAAUCUGGAGGACUUGACUGGAGGAUCCCAUACCUGGUCUCACAAAAUGCAGAGUUUCUUAUCAAGAUUCUGUCAUUAGUCGGAGUAGCUGUUUUCUGGACAAAAAGAUGAGAUUAUAGAGAAGUGCUAUAGACUUCAAGGCAUUCCUGUGUAUUUAGUGGGCAGAUGACUUUGGUCUGUGGGUUACCAGACACUGUCUUCUGUGGUGUUUGGGAUCACAUUUAGUCUAUGCUAGUUCUGGGUCUUUGCUUUGUGUUAUGCACUGUAUCUGCACAAUUCAAGUAAAUACAUUGCUUUACAUGCAUCUCUUUAGAGUCUUGUUAAGAAACAGUGAGGGGGUAAUCCCUUUUUUGCUUCCAUUUUACAUCAAGUUUUCUUUGCAUGGAAGCUAGAAAUCAAUUAAUAUUCAGGAAAGCCACCUUUGCACUUUUUUUGUCAGUUAAAUAAAACUAUCUAGAAGGUACUGACUACA